RNAcentral lists this ribosomal RNA (497 nucleotides) under uncultured bacterium. RNAcentral describes it as "partial 16S ribosomal RNA". It matches the Rfam family "Bacterial small subunit ribosomal RNA", at positions 28 to 507 of the family's 1533-position model. The record is from RNAcentral.
GAUGAACGCUGGCGGCGUGCCUAAUACAUGCAAGUCGAGCGAACGGACGAGAAGCUUGCUUUUCUGAUGUUAGCGGCGGACGGGUGAGUAACACGUGGAUAACCUACCUAUAAGACUGGGAUAACUUCGGGAAACCGGAGCUAAUACCGGAUAAUAUUUUGAACCGCAUGGUUCAAAAGUGAAAGACGGUCUUGCUGUCACUUAUAGAUGGAUCCGCGCUGCAUUAGCUAGUUGGUAAGGUAACGGCUUACCAAGGCAACGAUGCAUAGCCGACCUGAGAGGGUGAUCGGCCACACUGGAACUGAGACACGGUUCAGACUCCUACGGGAGGCAGCAGUAGGAAAUCUUCCGCAAUGGGCGAAAGCCUGACGGAGCAACGCCGCGUGAGUGAUGAAGGUCUUCGGAUCGUAAAACUCUGUUAUUAGGGAAGAACAUAUGUGUAAGUAACUGUGCACAUCUUGACGGUACCUAAUCAGAAAGCCACGGCUAACUACGUG